This 683-nucleotide unclassified non-coding RNA is filed under the name Hevea brasiliensis (rubber tree). The record is from RNAcentral. Lineage: Eukaryota; Viridiplantae; Streptophyta; Magnoliopsida; Malpighiales; Euphorbiaceae.
GACCAUUUUUAGCAACUUCACCAAAGUCCCAACCUUCACCAUAUAUAUAGAUACUUGAACCAUCAACUCCAUUUCUUUCAUUUGUUAGGCUGAGUAGCGCAUCUUUUGCUUUCAUCAUUGUACUUUUCAUUAUAUGGCCCAUAAGGUCAAACCGGAAUCCAUCAACCUUGUAGUUAACUGCCCAGCUCAAAAGAUCAUCAAUAAUCAAGCGCUCAACCAUAUAAUGCUCACUGGCAGUGUUAUUCACACAUGUACUAUUUUCAAUAAAUCCGUCAUUGUUCCUUCUCAGAUAAUAACCUGGAACAACCUUAUCAAGAACAGAAUUCUCAUCAAAAGGCCCACUUCCAUGCAAAUGAUUGUAGACAACAUCCAACACAACCCGAAGACCAAUGUGGUUAAGUGCCUGAACCAUCUUUCUGAACUCAAUGGUGCGGCAAGGACCAUUUGGAUUGCUUGCAUAACUUCCUUUAGGGACCCCCCAGAGAACAGGAUUGUACCCCCAAUUAUACCCAUCAUCAUUUUGGAUUGCAGUAAUAUGAGCUUGUUGCUCAACUGAAUCCGGUGGUAAUUUUUCUAGCAUGUUGUUAUCCACAGACUUCCAGUUCUCCCUAACAUCGUCAACGCCAGCAAAUUGAAAGGUUGGCAGCAAAUGGACAUGAGUAAUGCCAGCAUUUGAUAAUUUC